Molecule: ribosomal RNA, 492 nt
Filed under: uncultured bacterium
Lineage: Bacteria
Description: partial 16S ribosomal RNA
Rfam family: Bacterial small subunit ribosomal RNA
Source: RNAcentral
AGUGAACGCUGGCGGUAGGCCUAACACAUGCAAGUCGAACGGCAGCACAGUAAGAGCUUGCUCUUACGGGUGGCGAGUGGCGGACGGGUGAGGAAUACAUCGGAAUCUACUUUUUCGUGGGGGAUAACGUAGGGAAACUUACGCUAAUACCGCAUACGACCUACGGGUGAAAGCAGGGGAUCUUCGGACCUUGCGCGAUUGAAUGAGCCGAUGUAGGAUUAGCUAGUUGGCGGGGUAAAGGCCCACCAAGGCGACGAUCCGUGGCUGGUCUGAGAGGAUGGUCACCAAUAUGGGAACUGGGCCACGGGCCAGCUUCCUAGUGGAGGAAGCAGUGGGGAAUAUUGAACAAUGGGCGCAAGCCUGAUCCAGCCAGUCCGCGUGUGUGAAGAAGGCCUUCGGGUUGUAAAGCCCUUUUUUUUGGAAAGAAAAGCAGCAGGUUAAUACCCCGCUGUUCUGACGUUACCCAAAGAAUAAGCCCCGGCUAACUUCGUG